UUUACCUUACCACCAAACAACACAAGCACAAUGACAUCCAAGAAUUCCAUUGCUAUUCUGGUCUUACUCCUCGUUACUCUCAUUAUGCCUGCCCAAUCCACCAGUACGUAUCACGUUCACCCAUCAAAGUGUUUCUCAUUGAAGCUUUUGUUUUGGAUGUCUAAUUAAGUUUGAGCUUAAGCUUGAGAAACCAUUGCUGCAGUUGAUGCUAAAGUUUGACUGGUUAUUUGUUUGCAGGUUAUCCAAUUCAUGAUCAACAGAUUGUACGCUGCAUUUAUAUGGGGCCGUGCGUAAAUAGUCGUCAUUGUGAAAAGCAUUGCCAAUUCAAUCGCCAUCUUCCUGGGAAAUGCGCUGAUUAUAAUAAUACACAAAUUUGCUGCUGUCUUCCACCAUGAUUUGGAAGGGAGUUCAGGAGGCCUUUUCCUUAAUGCAUAUGUAGUCUUCAUGAGUUUUAUUUUGUGCCGCUAUGCCAGCUUUCAUGUUCUCUGCUCUCUAUAUAGAAGGAAAUAAAUGAAAUAAUUUAUAAACAAGAAAACAAUAGAAAAAGAAAUGCUCAUUUCGUAUGUGAUGCGUUUCCGAAUCUAUUUUUCUUUUGAACCCUUUUUUGUAUUUAAAAUAUAAUUUUCUUAGAUUCUCCAUAACUAAGAAAUCCCAGGUAUAAAUCUAAGCAGUG
Molecule: long non-coding RNA, 673 nt
Filed under: Phoenix dactylifera (date palm)
Lineage: Eukaryota; Viridiplantae; Streptophyta; Magnoliopsida; Arecales; Arecaceae
Description: long non-coding RNA (PDAC_LNC009370)
Source: RNAcentral